Molecule: non-coding RNA, 73 nt
Organism: Podarcis lilfordi (Lilford's wall lizard)
Lineage: Eukaryota; Metazoa; Chordata; Lepidosauria; Squamata; Lacertidae
Source: the annotation of a GenBank genome assembly
ACUGGGAUAGCUCAGUUGGCAGAGCACAAGACUCUUGCUCUUGGAGUCAUGGGUUCGAGUCCCAUGUGUGGCG